RNAcentral lists this long non-coding RNA (10065 nucleotides) under Triticum aestivum (bread wheat). Its description in RNAcentral is "long non-coding RNA (TAES_LNC014979)". The record is from RNAcentral. Lineage: Eukaryota; Viridiplantae; Streptophyta; Magnoliopsida; Poales; Poaceae.
UUGUGUUUUCUUUGCUAUAAUUACCCUUGUAAUAUUCAGCAUCGCCCGAACAUUUUUGUUACAGCUUUUGAAAACUUUUGUUGUUUACAUUAAUUUAAAUUUGAAUUUGACGCGGUUUGAACUAACGUAAGUUUAGCAACAGUAAUCGAGGUGACGUGGCAUGAUUAGCAUGGAAUUACUGUAGCAAGAUUAUCCGGGUGUUACAAAUCUCCUCCACUACAAGAAAUCUCGUCCCGAGAUUUAGGAGGUAGAAGGAAACAGUGCGGGGUAUUCAUCACGCAGGCGGUCCUCGCGUUCCCAAGUGGCUUCGUCUUCAGAGUGAUUCGACCACUGGACUUUGAGGAACUUGAUCGCCUUCUGACGUGUGCGGCGUUCAGCAUGGUCGAGAAUGCGGACCGGAUGCUCUUUAUAGGAGAGGUCCUGUUGCAAUUCGAGCACUUCAUGAUCCACUGCUCGGAUUGGAUCCUUGAAGCAAUGGCGGAGCUGUGACACGUCGAACACAUCGUGAACCUGAGAAAGGUUUGGCGGAAGCUCCAGUUGAUAUGCCACUUUUCCAUGCCUUUCGAGAAUAGUGAAGGGACCGAUAUAGCGAGGAGCUAGCUUGCCCUUGAUCCCGAAGCGGUGAGCACCCUUCAUUGGUGUAACUCGAAGAUAAGCCUUUUUGCCAGGUUGAUCGACCAUGUCUUUAUGAUGACGGUCAUAAUUACUCUUUUGACGUGACUGAGCAGUCUUGAGAUUCUUGCAAAUAAUGCGAACUUGUUCUUUGGCCUGUUGGAUAAUAUCCGGACCGAAGAGUGGACGUUCCCCAGUUUCUGACCAGUUUAGAGUGGUUCGACACUUUCGUCCAUAUAGCACUUCAAAGGGGGACAUCUUCAGACUAGCUUGGUAGCUAUUAUUAUAAGAGAACUCGGCAUAUGGAAGAGAUUCCUCCCAUAUCGUGCCGAAGGAAAUUACACAAGCUCGAAGCAUGUCUUCGAUAACUUGGUUGACACAUUCAAUCUGUCCUUGCGACUGAGGAUGAAACACAGUACUGAACGACAGGUGCGUUCCCAUAGCUUCUUGGAAACUUGCCCAAAAUCUUGAAGUGAACAAACUACCAUGGUCUGAACUGAUAACCAGUGGAAUACCGUGAAGUAAAACAAUUCUGGCCAUGUAGAGAGUAGCAAGCUGACUAGCAGUGAUUGUCUCUUUGACCGCCAGAAAAUGUGCAACUUUAGAAAGCCGGUCAAUGACGACAAGAAUAGCAUCAUUACCUUUCUGCGAUUUGGGAAAUCCAAUGACGAAGUCCAUUUCAAAAUGGUCCCAUUUCCAUUCAGGAAUAGGUAUAGGUUGCAGAGUUCCAGUAGGCCUUUGAUGCUCUGCUUUGAUACGGCGACAAACGUCACACUUAGCAACAUCACGAGCAAUGUCCUGCUUCAUAUGAGACCACCAGAAUCUUUGACGAAUAUCCUCGUACAUCUUUGUACUACCAGGAUGGAUGGACAGAGGCGUAUCAUGAGCUUCUUGCAUAACCCUUUUAGUCUUAUCCAGGUUUUUCUUCGAACAUGGUACCACUAGGCGGCCUUUGAAAUACAAGGCGACAUCGUCGGCGAUAGUGAAGAAUGAGGGCUUUCCUUCUGCUAGAUGGCAUUUAAUCUCAUGGACUUCAGAGUCAUAACCUUGAAUAGUCUUUAUAUCAGCUACGAGAUCUGGUACGACAACCAGGGUAUUUAGAGAACCCUUAGUAACAACAAGAAGAUUCAUCUUGCGGAACUCCGGGGGAGGGGGAGCGAGUGCUCCAGGUGGAACAAUAUGGAGGUUCAGCUUUCUAAAUUCUUCGACAAGCGAGGGCUGAACUUUGUGAACCUGGAGGUGAUUGCAGUAAGACUUGCGGCUCAAGGCAUCAGCCAUUACAUUAGCCUUGCCGGGGGUAUAGGAUAUACCCACGUCAAAGUCUGCAACAGUCUCCAUCCAUCUCUGUUGACGGAGGUUCAGAUCUGGCUGAGUAAACAAAUACUUCAGACUUUGGUGGUCGAGAUCUCGCAACAAUUACCGAGAAGGUAAUGUCGCCACUGCUUCAGUGCAUGAAUGACAGUAGCAAGCUCGAGGUCGUGAACUGGGUAGUUUUCUUCGUGAGGGCGCAGUUGACGAGAGGCAUAAGCAAUCACUCUGCGCUCUUGCAUUAGGACACAGCCUAAUCCUUGACGGGAAGCGUCGCAGUAAAUGACGAAGUCCUUCUUAGUAUCAGGUGGACCAAGCACGGGGGCAGAAGUCAACUUGUCUUUGAGCGCCUGAAAACUUUCCUGACACUUGUCUGUCCAGUCAAACUUGACACCCUUAUGCAACAGAUUAGUCAGGGGCCUGGCAAUCUUGGAGAAGUUCUCGACGAAUCGACGGCAAUAGCUGGCGAGGCCGAGAAAACUUCGGACUUGCUUCACAUUCUUCGGAGGAGUCCAAUCGAGAAUAGCCUGAACUCGUUCAGGGUUGACGGCAAUACCAUCCUUGGAGAUGACAUGCCCAAGAUAGGUUACUUCGGGGAGCCAGAAUUCACACUUGGAAUACUUAGCAUACAGCUGAUGCUCCCGAAGCUUUUCCAGCACAAGACGAAGAUGUUCAGCAUGUUCUUCCUUGUUCUUGGAAAAUACAAGGAUAUCGUCCAGAUAAACCACGACAAACUUGUCGAGGUAAUCCAUGAAUAUAUAGUUCAUUAGACGAGAGAAGGUGGCGGGAGCAUUCGUUAAGCCGAAUGACAUGACGGUGUACUCGUAUGAUCCAUACCGAGUCACGAAGGCGGUUUUUGGGAUGUCCUCUUGACGAACACGGAUCUGGUGAUAACCCAACCUCAAGUCGAGUUUGGAGAACACUGAUGAGCCAGCCAAUUGAUCAUAAAGAUCAUUGAUCCGAGGAAGAGGGUAUUUAUUCUGAAUGGUAGCUUGGUUUAUAGGACGGUAGUCUUGGACUAAUCGGUUUGUCCCAUCCUUCUUAUUAACAAAGAGAGAAGGUGCUCCCCAAGGAGAGAAACUUGGGCAAAUGAAACCUUUGACAAGAGAUUUGUCGAUUUCCUCCUUAAGCUCAAUGAGUUCAUGCGGCAGCAUCUUGUAGGGUCGUUUAGCUAUAGGGGUGGUGUCGGGUUUCAAGUCGAUGAUGAAUUCGACAGCUCUAGCAGGGGGAAUCCUUGGAAGUUCUUCUGGGAAGACAUCUUGGAAUUCACGAACGACGGGAAUGUUUUCAAUGCCCUCGAGUGGUGCAACGUUCAACGCAUUCAAGGCAUAAAGCCGUGCCUCGGCGUUUUGCACCAGAUGAGCUUGGUAAGUAAUUAUUUCGUCUGAAGGGUGUAGCUGAUGGACGGUCUUAGUGGCGCAAACUAUAGAAGCAGUAUGCGCUUUUAACCAAUUCAUUCCCAGAAUGAGAUCAAUGCUACAGGACUUCAGUACGAUGGGAGAGACAAGGAAUUCCAGUCCUUCGAUUUCUACAGGGACGUCAUUGCAAAUCAUGGAGGUUCGACAUUGGCCCGCAGGGGUGUGUACUAAUAGUGAAGCAUUCAUGUCCUCACAUUUAAUGUCGUGCCAGCAUGCAAAAUCUUCUGACAUGAAUGAAUGCGAUGCACCUGUAUCAAAUAAAAUGGAUGCUGGUACUGAAUUUACAAGGAGUGUACCCAUCACAGUAGCAGGCCGGUCUUGAGCUUCGUUCAGAUCAACGUGGUUGGCAUGAACACGACCAUAAGACUUGGCAUUGUUGCUACGGGGCUGGUUGCUUCCACGGCCAGUUGCUGGAAGGGCCAGUUGAUUCUAGUUCUGGUUGCAUUCCCUAGCACGGUGCCCUGGUUGUCCAUACCUGAAGCACAACACAUUAUUGGGAGUGGGAACAAGAGUUUGUGGUGGUGGAGCUGGAAGUCUUGGCUGCCUAGUUGGUGGAGCAGGCAGACGAGGUGCAGCAUAGGUCUGCCUUGGGGAAGGUGCAUUCGGCUGGUACAUGCUGUUGGGAAUCCAUAUCUUGUGCUUUUGCGAGGACGGGCCCGAAGAUGAGCUCGUGUCACGGGUGCGCCUGUGAGAGCCUUGGUAUUCCUGCAGACCAGUUUCAACAUUGAUGGCCUUGUUCACCAGGGUGGCGAAAUCAGCAAAGUCAUGCACUAGAAGUGCGAGCUUGAUGUCAGCUUGAAGGCCAUCACGGAACUUCUCCUGUCUGCGUGCAUCAGUUGCAAUGUCCUCUUCAGCAUAGCGAGACAAGUCCAGAAACUCCCGCUGAUAAGCUUCAACAGUCUUGUUGCCUUGGGUGAGGUUGCGAAACUCGCGCUUCUUACGGUCCAUGACUCCCUGAGGAAUGAAGCGAGCAUGGAAGGCAGCUUGGAAGUCUGGCCAGGUGAUGAUUGUUCCAACUGGCAGAGUACGCCUGUGGCUGUCCCACCAUUGAGCUGCGGGUCCCUUCAAGAAGAAGGAAGCAAAGGUGACAUAGCUGGCAGGGGCUACAUCAGCAGACUCCAUUUUUUUUCCUAGGUGAUGUCACGGAGCCAGUCAUCAGCAUCCAGAGGCUGAGUUGAGCUGCGGUACACAGUUGGGUUCAGGCGCAUGAAAUCCUGCAGAGUUACUGGGGUCGGUUGUUGGUUCAUAUUGGGGCGAGGAAACUGAGCCAUCAUAUUCUCCAUGAACUGGCGAUUCAUCUCAAGCUGUUGGAUCAUACCAGCCAUGUACUCAGGCGGUGGUGGGAGGUUGCCACCACGUCCACGACCACCUGGUCUAACCAUCCUGCUAAUAUAUAACAGGGGUAGUUUAGCAUUGAGAAAUUUGCAAAGACAAGAAUCAUUCAUGAUGAAACAUGCACAAUGAAAGCAGCAUGAUAGAUACUACAUAGUAGUCGGCAUAUCUUACAAAAGCGAUCAUGCAUAGAGUUCGGUACACAGAGAUCAGUACAUAGACUAAUACAUCAUAGGCGGCACGCAGGCUCGCGGCAAAUGCAUCUAACACUAACAAGCAAGCCUACAUCAGUCCCAGGAGGAACUGUGGAGGUAGGUGUAGCCUGACAGCUGGUAGUGACGCGAAGGGAAGACCUCCACGCGAGUAGCCUGGGGUCCGCGGAUACUCUGGUGCGGAACCCGAUGCGCAGGUGGCAGGAGAGGACCAAGUACAGGAGAGUAGCCUCCCACCUCUGGCCAGCCGACGCCCUGGGGCAUCACGGUCCUGGCAGGGUAGAUCGCAGAACGCGAUAGAUCACCAGAGUGGACAGAGGGGUGCAACAGCGUCAGAGCACGAUAUAGGUGCUGACGGGUGGUGUACAGCUCGUGGCGAAGAGCUCGGUUAGCUCGAUCCAGCCCAUCAGCAUGCAGAACCAGGUUCUGAUGGUAGAAGGGCUCUCGGGUGACAGUGGAGUAGGCAGAAGUGUAGUAUCCCUCCGCACCAACAUCGGAUGUGAUAGCAAUGUGCCUGAAGGGGGAGGUAUCCAACUCCUGAUACUCUCCACGAAGACGUGUCAGAGCAGCAUAAGCAGCAUCGUGGACCACCAUGUCGAUGGUCACUCCAACACCAUGAGCAGUGUGCAGCACGGUAGUGGAGUCAUACUCUCGAGAGUAGAGGUGGACGAUGGCACAGUACUGCUCCUGGUUGAAGUCCUGAGGAGUGGUGUACUCAGGGUGCCAGCGAUAACCCAGAUAGGUCAUCAUCUCAACCAACACAGCAGGUGAUCCUGAGGCACCAAUGGCCGUCGUGUGGCGCACGACCUGUCUCGCGGGUUCCAACUGAAAACAAAGAUGUUUCAAAGGAGUCAACUGACAGUGUGGAUAAUUCAAUAUACUACUCUAAUGAAUAGCUAGGGAUUAUCCAACUUUGGGGUGAACAUGGUCACGGGAUCCUAAUGUUAAAGUUAGUAAAAUCGUUUAACCCGAGUAGGAGAGAGUUCAAAGUCCCAGAGUAAGGAUCGAGGAGUAAAAGAUCCUAAUACCACCCAGAUGGCGACGUAGGCCCGUAAGGCACACAGCCAUGUUAGUAAAAGUUUUUGUAAUGUCUAGACUCAACUUCGGCCAAGGAGUGUGGAAGGGGGAUUCCUACAGGCAGUCGGCUCUGAUACCAACUUGUGACGCCCCCGAUUCAAUCGUACACUAAUCAUACACGCAAACGUGUACGAUCAAGAUCAGGGACUCACGGCAAGAUAUCACAACACAACUCUACAAAUAAAAUAAGUCAUACAAGCAUCAUAUUACAAGCCAGGGGCCUCGAGGGCUCGAAUACAAGAGCUCGAUCAUAGACGAGUCAGCGGAAGCAACAAUAUCUGAGUACAGACAUAAGUUAAACAAGUUUGCCUUAAGAAGGCUAGCACAAACAGGGAUACAGAUCGAAAGAGGCGCAUGCCUCCUACCUGGGAUCCUCCUAACUACUCCUGGUCGCCGUCAGUGGGGUGCAUGUAGUAGUAGGCACCUCCCGAGUAGUAGUAGUUGUCGUCGACGGUGGCGUCUGGCUCCUGGACUCCAACGUCUGGUCGCAGCAAUCGGGUAGAAGGGAAAGGGGAAAAGAGGGAGAAAGCAACUGUGAGUACUCAUCCAAAGUACUCGCAAGCAAGGAGCUACACUACAUAUGUAUGCAUUGGUAUCAACUGGAAUAAGGCUAUCAUAUGUGGACUGAACUGCAGAAUACCGGAAUAAGAGGGGGAUAGCUAGUCCUUUCGAAGACUACGCUUCUGGUAACCUCCAUCUUACAGCAGGAGAAGAGAGUAGAUGGUAAGUUCACCAAGUAACAUCGCAUAGCAUAAUCCUAACCGAUGAUCCUCCCCUCGUCGCCCUGUGAGAGAGCGAUCACCGGUUGUAUCUGGCACUUGGAAGGGUGUGUUUUAUUAAGUAACCGGUUCUAGUUGUCAUAAGGUCAAGGUACAACUCCGGGUCGUCCUUUUACCGAGGGACACGGCUAUUCGAAUAGAUUAACUUCCCUGCAGGGGUGCACCACAUAACCCAACACGCUCGAUCCCAUUUGGCCGGACACACUUUCUUGGGUCAUGCCCGGCCUCAGAAGAUCAACACGUCGCAGCCCCACCUAGACCAACAGAGAGGUCAGCACGCCGGUCUAAACCUAAGCGUCCAGGGGUCUGGGCCCAUCGCCCUUAGCACACCUGCACGUUGCGUGGGCGACCGGAAGCAUACCUAGCCUAGCAGGUGUUCCAGUCCAAUCCGGCGCGCGCCACUCAGUUGCUAACGUCACGAAGGCUUUGGCUGAUACCACAACGUCGAGUGCCCAUAACUGUCCCCGCGUAGAUGGUUAGUGCGUAUAGGCCAGUAGCCAGACUCGGAUCAAAUACCAAGAUCUCGUCAAACGUGUUAUUUUGAAAUAACCGCGAACGCUGACCAGGGCCAGGCCCACCUCUCUCCUAGGUGGUCUCAACCUGCCCUGUUGCUUCGCCACAAAGAUCCACUCAGAGGGCCGUCGGGACAAACAUCCUUUCGGACCCAAUCCGUGGAUCACUCGCGGGUACUCCUACGAGCCGACCCGUCUUUAGUCACCUCAAGUAUCAUAUAUAAAGUAUAUAGUAUAUACCCGUGAUCACCUCCCGAGUGAUCACGGCCCGAUAGUAUAGCAAGGCAGACGGACAAGAAUGAAGGGCCACUGAUGAUAAACUAGCAUCCUAUACUAAGAUUAGGAUUGUAGGUAAAGGUAACAACAGUUGUAGCAACAAUGACAGGCUAUGCAUCAGGAUAGGAUUAACGGAAAGUAGUAACAUGCUACACUACUGUAAUGCAAGCAGUAUAGAGGAGAGUAGGCGAUAUCUGGUGAUCAAGGGGAGGCUUGCCUGGUUGUUCUAGCAAGAGAGAGGGGUCGUCAACACCGUAGUCGUACUGGGUAGCAGCGGCGUCGGUCUCGAUGUCUAGCGAGAGAAGAGGGGGAAGAAACAAUAAAUAUAAUGCAAACAAAUGCAUGAUGAUGCAUGACAUGACAAAGCGUGAUGCUAGGUGUGCCCUAACGCGGUACGAGGUGGUACCGGUGAAGGGGGGAACAUCCGAGAAAUUAUCCUCGGUGUUUCACGUUUUCGGGCAAAGGAGCCGGUGGGGGAAAGUUGCGUGUUCGCUAUGUUAGGGAUGCGUGGCGGAUGAACGGGCUGCGCAUCCGGGUUCGUCUCGUUGUUUUGAGCAACUUUCAUGUUGAAAAUGAUUUAAUCCAAGUUAUGGAUUAAAAGAUAUGAUUUUCUAAAGAUUUUAUUAAUUUUUGGAAUUUAAAUAAUUAUUUAAUUUAACCCGAAAAUGGAUUUAUGACAUCAGCAUGAUGUCAUGCUGAUGUCAGCAUUCAACAGAGGUGUUGACUGGUCAAACUUACGUGUGGGUCCAGUGGGACCCACCUGUCAUACUCUGUUUAAGUUAAUUAGGAUUAAACUAAACUAAUUACGGUUCAGUUAAACUAACUAGUUAAUUAGACUAAUUAAACAGGGUUAAUUAACUUAAUUAAUUCACUAAUUAAUUAAAUAUUAAUUUUAUAAUAUUAUUUCUAAAUCUUUUAAUUCUCAAUUCUUUAUUUUAACGUUCUAGGGGUGGACCCCGUUGUCCAGUGGCCCAGGCUUUAACGGGCACAGGGGGUUCGGGCGCACGGGCGCAGCCACGAGGGCACACCCGGCUGGGCGCGCGGGCGCCGAUGGGGUCGGGGAGAGGGGCGGCCAGCGCCGGCGAGCGGCGGGGCCGGCAGGAACAGCUGCAGGCCGCGGGGCGUGCGCGGCCAACGGCCGGCGGCGACGCCAGGAGAGGGGCGAGGCCAUGGCCGAGGUGGCCGGAGCAGGGGAGGUGGUGUCGCAAGGCGGGGCCGUAGGCCACGAUGCCGGCCAGGCGGUCGGAGCGGUGACCGCCGCGGCGGGAGGCGGCACAGGGACGUGGGGACAUGGGACGAUGGAGCGGGUGUCUUCGGGCGAGGCGAGCACGAAGCAACAACAGCAGUAUGCAGGGGGUGCGGCCUCGGGCGUACAGGGUGAGGCCACAAUGGGCGCGGGCCUCGACGGCCAGAGCGUGGGAGGCGCGCGGGGCGCCGUAGUGCGCGCCGGCGCACGCACGUGUGACGCGAGGGAGUGGCGGGCAGUGGCGCACGGGAGGAGGGGAGCACGGGGCGAGGGAGAGGGAGGAGGGCAUGGCCCUCACCACGCGGACGUAGGGGCUAUCGCAGCGGCUCGACGGAGGUCGGGGAGGUCCGACGAGGGAGAUCCGGUGACGGGCGGCGUUUCGGGCAGCAGCGGACGACGGAGACCGGGCGCAGGACGUCGGGGGAGACGCGGCAGGCGCGGCGAGGGGCGCCGCUGAGGGAGAGGGGGCGGGGCCGCGAGGAUGAGGGUGGAGGUCCGGCGGCGGCGGGCGUCGCCAGGGAGGCGGGAUGGUCCUAGGCGGCGGCGUCUGAGCCCUCCCUUUUCCCGAUCCAGNNNNNNNNNNNNNNNNNNNNNNNNNNNNNNNNNNNNNNNNNNNNNNNNNNNNNNNNNNNNNNNNNNNNNNNNNNNNNNNNNNNNNNNNNNNNNNNNNNNNNNNNNNNNNNNNNNNNNNNNNNNNNNNNNNNNNNNNNNNNNNNNNNNNNNNNNNNNNNNNNNNNNNNNNNNNNNNNNNNNNNNNNNNNNNNNNNNNNNNNNNNNNNNNNNNNNNNNNNNNNNNNNNNNNNNNNNNNNNNNNNUCCAGAUCGGGAUUGAUGGGGGGGUUGAAGGAGAGACGUGCGGGAGUAGGAGGGGGCGAGUGGGGAGUGGGCUAGGUCAUGGGGGGAGAGGGGGGUUAGGUAGUGGGGUGGCUCGGUCCGAGUGGGCCGGCCAGUUGGGCCGAGGCCUAGGUGGGCCAAGGGGGCCUUUUAUUCUUUUUUCUUGUUUUGUUUUGUUUUCUCUUUUGUAUUUUCCUUUUCUUUUAUUUCUUUUCCUUUUCUGUUUUAAUUAAUUUUAGCACGUUCAAGGAUUUUAUAAAAUUGUGUUUUCUUUACUAUAAUUACCCUUGUAAUAUUCAGCACCGCCCGAACAUUUUUGUUGCAGCUUUUGAAAACUUUUUUUGUUUACAUUAAUUUAAAUUUGAAUUUGACGCGGUUUGAACUAAUGUAAGUUUAGCAACAGUAAUCGAGGUGACGUGGCAUGAUUAGCGUGGAAUUACUGUAGCAAGAUUAUCCGGGC